GGAUGCGAUCAUACCAGCACUAAAGCACCGGAUCCCAUCAGAACUCCGAAGUUAAGCAUGCUUGGGCAAGAGUAGUACUAGGAUGGGUGACCUCCUGGGAAGUCCUCGUGUUGCAUUCC
RNAcentral lists this ribosomal RNA (119 nucleotides) under Triticum aestivum (bread wheat). Lineage: Eukaryota; Viridiplantae; Streptophyta; Magnoliopsida; Poales; Poaceae. The record is from RNAcentral.